GUCAAUGAGGAGAGGAAGAUGGACAC
Molecule: non-coding RNA, 26 nt
Filed under: Homo sapiens (human)
Lineage: Eukaryota; Metazoa; Chordata; Mammalia; Primates; Hominidae
Source: RNAcentral